UAAUACGGAGGAGGCAAGCGUUAUCCGGAAUUAUUGGGCGUAAAGCGUCCGUAGGUGGUUUAGUAAGUCUGCUGUUAAAGCGCGGGGCUUAACUCCGUAUCGGCAGUGGAAACUACUAGACUAGAGUGUGGUAGGGGUAGAGGGAAUUCCCAGUGUAGCGGUGAAAUGCGUAGAUAUUGGGAAGAACACCGGUGGCGAAGGCGCUCUACUGGGCCAUAACUGACACUGAUGGACGAAAGCUAGGGGAGCGAAAGGGAUUAGAUACCCCUGUAGUCCUAGCCGUAAACGAUGGAGACUAGGUGUUGGCCGUAUCGACCCGGUCAGUGCCGUAGCUAACGCGUUAAGUUUCCCGCCUGGGGAGUACGCUCGCAAGAGUG
Molecule: ribosomal RNA, 377 nt
Filed under: uncultured bacterium
Lineage: Bacteria
Description: bacterial SSU rRNA
Rfam family: Bacterial small subunit ribosomal RNA
Source: RNAcentral